Molecule: ribosomal RNA, 497 nt
Filed under: uncultured bacterium
Lineage: Bacteria
Description: partial 16S ribosomal RNA
Rfam family: Bacterial small subunit ribosomal RNA
Source: RNAcentral
GAUGAACGCUGGCGGCGUGCCUAAUACAUGCAAGUCGAGCGAACACAUGAUGAGCUUUCUCUUCUGCCGUUAGCGGCUGACGGGUGAGUAACACGUGGAUAACCUACCUAUAUUACUUGGAUAACUUCGUGAAACCGGAGCUACUACCAGCUCAUAUAUUGAACCGCAUGGUUCAAUAGUUCAAGACGGUUUUCCUGUCACUUUUAGCUGGUUCCGCGGCGCAUUAGCUAGUUGGUAAGGUAACGGCUUAACAAGGCAACGAUGCGUAGCCGACCUGAGAGGGUGAACGGCCAAAAUGGAACUGAGAAAAGGUCCAGAAUCCUAAGGGAGGCAGCAGUAGGGAAUCUUCGGAAAUGGGCGAAAGCCUGAAGGAGCAAAGCCGCGGGAGUGAUGAAGGUCUUCGGAUCGUAAAACUCUGUUAGUAGGGAAGAAAAAAUGUGUAAGUAACUAUGCACGUCUUGAAGGUACCUAAUCAGAAAGCCACGGCUAACUACGUG